Molecule: long non-coding RNA, 717 nt
Organism: Hibiscus syriacus
Lineage: Eukaryota; Viridiplantae; Streptophyta; Magnoliopsida; Malvales; Malvaceae
Exons: 3
Source: RefSeq, a predicted model, not a curated record
CUGAUAGUUCCUUGUUUGGUAUAGAUUAAAGCUAUCGCAUAUGAACCUCUCUCAGCAUAAUUUUCUCUCUAAGUAGAUAGCUUCAGUGAGAAGGAAUAAUUCUUGCAUGAAAAUUUGCAGCCACACCCCCUCCCCCCAAAAAAAACACCAUCUCAUUUUUGCUGAAUAUACCUUUUAUUUCUUAUAUAGUGUUAGCAUGAAUUUUGUUAACAUUGAUUCAGAUUUGUUCUCGAUGGUGUAUUACUCACCGGAAGAAGGCAAAACAAAUUUUUGAAACAUGAGAUAAAUUAUUCAGCCCUUCCCAGAAAGACAGGCGGGUUUCUUUUCUCUAUUUGGCUAAUGACAUAUUGCAAAAUAGCAUGCGGAAAGGAGGUGAGUUUGUGAAUGAAUUCUGGAAAGUUCUUCCUGCAGCCCUCAAACAUGUGUAUGACAAUGGUGAUGAGAAAGGAAAGAAAGCAGUAACCAGACUGGUUAACAUAUGGGAAGAGAGAAAAGUUUUUGGUUCUCGAGAAAGAUAAAAUACUCGAAAUUAGCUGUUGGAGGUCUUCCAGAAAAAAUACUCACUGCAUAUCAAUCCGUACUCGAUGACAAUUCAAAUGAGGAUACUGCUUUAAACAAAUGCAGUGUUGCAGUACAAAACUUUAUUACAAUUAGGGAGGAUGUUCGAAGUAGUUUAGCUCAAGGUAUGAGUUCUGCUAUGGGAUUAAAUGUUCUAUG